GCCACUCUUGCUAUGUCCAAAGCAAUGGCAAUAUAUCGUGUGGACUUACAUCUUGAAUAAUGUGUACAUCAGUGUGCAUUCACUGGCUUUAAUUAGGUCUUAUGUUUCCACUUUCAGCAAAAUUGUAAGCAUUCCAAAUACCUUACUUCUAGUCCUAUGUCUAUCGUAUCUUGUCAGUAUAUAUGGAGUGGUAAUGUUAGAUUUUCAUAUAUAGGAAAACGGCAAGUACAAUAGUCAGGAGCCAAGUCCCAUUGAGUUUUUCAAAGAGACCCGUACUAACAGCAUGAGCGAGCCGACACAUCUAGCUUAUAAUGCAAUGGAAAAGAAAAGGGAAACACAAUCAAAAGUGACAACCAGUGUUUGAUUCAAUGAUUGUGGCUGAAGUUCUAAAGGAAGAAAACGCCCAUAGCACCUUCCUUUCCAGCAUGAGUUAUGCAUCAAGAUCCGGGAGAUUUGGGAACUCUAAUUCAUCAGCAAGGAUCUGAGUUCUAGAAGAAAGAAUUGAGCAAAAUGAUAAAGAGGCGAGAGAUGCAAAUGACAGGCACUGAGAGGAGUUAGUGGUGAGACUUGAAGCACAAGCGAGAGAAUUUGAAGAGGUGUAGAGGAAGCAACACGAAUAAUUGGAAGAUGUGAAGAAGAUCGAGCAAGAGAAGAAUGAAGCCUGGCAAAAGAAGCAACAAGAGACGAAUAUCCUGAUUGGUUUUCUCUUAAGGGCUCAAGCAACUCAGCAAGCAACUUAGCAGUCCUAAUCCAAACUUAAUGGUGCAUGAAGGCCAUCCUUUUGCGAUGGAAAGAUAGUUGUUGAAUCAUACAUUGCAAUCAUCACGAUAACACAUGUGGUCUUUACUUAUCUAAAUAUUGCUUUUCAACUUGUCUAUUCUUCUGUCAAACUCGUGAGUCAGUGUUAAUUUUUACUAUGAAA
Molecule: long non-coding RNA, 922 nt
Organism: Triticum dicoccoides
Lineage: Eukaryota; Viridiplantae; Streptophyta; Magnoliopsida; Poales; Poaceae
Exons: 3
Source: RefSeq, a predicted model, not a curated record